UACGGGGGGUGCGAGCGUUGUCCGGAUUCACUGGGCGUAAAGGGCGCGUAGGCGGCCGGGUCAGUCGGGCCUGUAAGUGCGGGGCUCAACCCCGUGAUGGGCUCGGGACGGCCCGGCUGGGGCGCGGUCGAGGGAGACGGAAUGCCGGGUGUAGCGGUGGAAUGCGUAGAGAUCCGGAGGAAGACCGGUGGCGAAGGCGGUCUGCUGGGCAGUUUCUGACACUGAGGCGCAACAGCGUGGGGAGCAAACAGG
This 252-nucleotide ribosomal RNA is filed under the name uncultured bacterium. RNAcentral's name for it is "partial 16S ribosomal RNA". It matches the Rfam family "Bacterial small subunit ribosomal RNA", at positions 524 to 776 of the family's 1533-position model. The record is from RNAcentral.